Long non-coding RNA from Folsomia candida, 617 nucleotides. RefSeq lists it as uncharacterized. The record is from RefSeq and is a predicted model, not a curated record. The transcript is spliced from 3 exons. Lineage: Eukaryota; Metazoa; Arthropoda; Collembola; Entomobryomorpha; Isotomidae.
AUUAUUACCAAUUUUAUUACCCUGACACGGUAACAUCAACUGUAUGUCAUUAGGAAAUAAUUUAUAUCCUUGGUGGAAAUAAUUUUAUCUCCAAAAUUAUUGCCUGUGAGUGACAAUUUGUCUCCUUAAAGCCAACCGCAAGGCUUAGUGGCGGGUUGGCUUUUCUCGCAAACGUUUUUUCCUCUCGUCUGGCAGAAUGGCGAAAAUUGUUCGAGUUUCGCAUCCUACCAGAGGAAAAAAAUUAGUACUUGGCGAUUCGGAUUAUGAAUUAUUCUCAAUUUCAGGUAAACAAUUUUAAUACAUAUUUAUAUGAUAUGAGUUAUUAAGGUGUUGUUAUUUAUUUUUUGCCCUAUAUUUACAGUGAAACAAAAGUUUUUGCUAGAUCCGGAUGCGAAAAUUUCAUUCGAAGAUGAAUACGGCGCAGAAGUGGAUGAAGACAUUUUCCAAUUUUACUGCAGCAACAUUCAAUCCCCAACGUUAUUGUGAAAAUCUUUGGAGAAGAUGUUAUUUAUGUUGACGUUUCAUCUCCUAUGGCCACAGCUGGAAUAAAUUCAUCCCCAGCUUCAAGUUAAAAAUACCAAAACAAUGAGGACAUCGAAAUAACUAAUUUUAAGCAG